This 1017-nucleotide ribosomal RNA is filed under the name uncultured bacterium. Its description in RNAcentral is "bacterial SSU rRNA". It matches the Rfam family "Bacterial small subunit ribosomal RNA", at positions 355 to 1375 of the family's 1533-position model. The record is from RNAcentral.
UGAGGAAUAUUGGUCAAUGGACGAGAGUCUGAACCAGCCAAGUAGCGUGAAGGAUGACUGCCCUAUGGGUUGUAAACUUCUUUUAUAUGGGAAUAAAGUGCAGUAUGUAUACUGUUUUGUAUGUACCAUACGAAUAAGGAUCGGCUAACUCCGUGCCAGCAGCCGCGGUAAUACGGAGGAUCCGAGCGUUAUCCGGAUUUAUUGGGUUUAAAGGGAGCGUAGGCGGAUUAUUAAGUCAGUUGUGAAAGUUUGCGGCUCAACCGUAAAAUUGCAGUUGAUACUGGUAGUCUUGAGUGCAGCAGAGGUAGGCGGAAUUCGUGGUGUAGCGGUGAAAUGCUUAGAUAUCACGAAGAACUCCGAUUGCGAAGGCAGCUUACUGGACUGUAACUGACGCUGAUGCUCGAAAGUGUGGGUAUCAAACAGGAUUAGAUACCCUGGUAGUCCACACAGUAAACGAUGAAUACUCGCUGUUUGCGAUAUACAGUAAGCGGCCAAGCGAAAGCGUUAAGUAUUCCACCUGGGGAGUACGCCGGCAACGGUGAAACUCAAAGGAAUUGACGGGGGCCCGCACAAGCGGAGGAACAUGUGGUUUAAUUCGAUGAUACGCGAGGAACCUUACCCGGGCUUGAAUUGCAACUGAAUGAUGUGGAGACAUGUCAGCCGCAAGGCAGUUGUGAAGGUGCUGCAUGGUUGUCGUCAGCUCGUGCCGUGAGGUGUCGGCUUAAGUGCCAUAACGAGCGCAACCCUUAUCGAUAGUUACCAUCAGGUUAUGCUGGGGACUCUGUCGAGACUGCCGUCGUAAGAUGUGAGGAAGGUGGGGAUGACGUCAAAUCAGCACGGCCCUUACGUCCGGGGCUACACACGUGUUACAAUGGGGGGUACAGAAGGCAGCUACACGGCGACGUGAUGCUAAUCCCUAAAGCCUCUCUCAGUUCGGAUUGGAGUCUGCAACCCGACUCCAUGAAGCUGGAUUCGCUAGUAAUCGCGCAUCAGCCACGGCGCGGUGAAUACGUUCCC